UACGGAGGGGGCUAGCGUUGUUCGGAAUUACUGGGCGUAAAGCGCACGUAGGCGGCUUUGUAAGUUAGAGGUGAAAGCCCGGGGCUCAACUCCGGAAUUGCCUUUAAGACUGCAUCGCUCGAAUUGUGGAGAGGUAAGUGGAAUUCCGAGUGUAGAGGUGAAAUUCGUAGAUAUUCGGAAGAACACCAGUGGCGAAGGCGACUUCCUGGACCAAUACUGACGCUCAUGUGCGAAAGCGUGGGGAGCAAACAGG
This 253-nucleotide ribosomal RNA is filed under the name uncultured bacterium. RNAcentral describes it as "partial 16S ribosomal RNA". It matches the Rfam family "Bacterial small subunit ribosomal RNA", at positions 524 to 776 of the family's 1533-position model. The record is from RNAcentral.